UACGAAGGGGGGCUAGCGUUGCUCGGAAUGACUGGGCGUAAAGGGCGCGUAGGCGGUUUGGACAGUCAGAUGUGAAAUUCCUGGGCUCAACCUGGGGGGCUGCAUUGAUACGUUCGGACUAGAGUGGGGAAGAGGGUCGUGGAAUUCCCAGUGUAGAGGUGAAAUUCGUAGAUAUUGGGGAAGAACACCGGUGGCGAAGGCGGCGACCUGGUCCUUGACUGACGCUGAGGCGCGAAAGCGUGGGGGAGCAAACAGG
RNAcentral lists this ribosomal RNA (256 nucleotides) under uncultured bacterium. RNAcentral describes it as "partial 16S ribosomal RNA". It matches the Rfam family "Bacterial small subunit ribosomal RNA", at positions 524 to 776 of the family's 1533-position model. The record is from RNAcentral.